RNAcentral lists this ribosomal RNA (490 nucleotides) under uncultured bacterium. Its description in RNAcentral is "partial 16S ribosomal RNA". It matches the Rfam family "Bacterial small subunit ribosomal RNA", at positions 28 to 507 of the family's 1533-position model. The record is from RNAcentral.
GAUGAACGCUAGCUACAGGCUUAACACAUGCAAGUCGAGGGGAAACGAUGAGAGAGCUUGCUCUCUUAGGCGUCGACCGGCGCACGGGUGAGUAACGCGUAUCCAACCUACCCAUUACAGGGGGAUAACCUUGCGAAAGUAAGACUAAUACCCCAUGGCAUUUUAUGGUGGCAUCAUUAUAGGAUUAAAGAUUUAUUGGUAAUGGAUGGGGAUGCGUCUGAUUAGCUUGUUGGCGGGGUAACGGCCCACCAAGGCAACGAUCAGUAGUGGUUCUGAGAGGAAGGUCCCCCACAUUGGAACUGAGACACAGUCCAAACUCCUACGGGAGGCAGCAGUGAGGAAUAUUGGUCAAUGGGCGAGAGCUUGAACCAGCCAAGUAGCGUGCAGGAGGACGGCCCUAUGGGUUGUAAACUGCUUUUAUAGGAGAAUAGAGUGAGCUACGUGUAGUUUAUUGCAUGUACCCUAUGAAUAAGGACCGGCUAAUUCCGUG